Molecule: long non-coding RNA, 494 nt
Organism: Micropterus dolomieu (smallmouth bass)
Lineage: Eukaryota; Metazoa; Chordata; Actinopteri; Centrarchiformes; Centrarchidae
Exons: 2
Source: RefSeq, a predicted model, not a curated record
AGGGCUUUCAGACAUAAUUUUAACACUACCUGUAUAAAACAUGUUUGAUAUUAAUGAUUCGAAAUGGGGAAGUGUCACAACUCCUGCAUCUGACACCUGAGUUUGACUGAGUAAGUGUGUUUUGAUUUGUUUUUUCCUUUGGGUGAGUGAGGCAUGCUUGGUGUGUUUUUGUUCUGGUUUUCUUCCCUCCCUUCUCUCAGUUUUUGAAUCUUGGGCUGGCUUCCUGGGUUGCCACAAGCUGCACCUGCUUGUAAUCACCCACCUGUUCCUGAUCAGCUAUCCCUACCUCUUCUUAAGGAGACGCCAGACAUCCAUUCUCUGCCGAUCGCCUGUUCAACCUGCUCAUCCACCCUGCUAGUUCCAAGCUUCUUGAGCCAAGAUCCAACCCUUCCAGCCACGCCAGCCAGCCCUCACUUUCCAACUGCUUGGAAGGAGACACCCUGCCACAGUUUGCUAGCUUUGCCUCAAUAAACCUAAUAAACUAUUUAACUGCU